UGCAAAACAUAUAGACCCUCGCCGGUCUCCGUAGGCUGACAAAGAUUUUGUGCGCGAGGUGGGAAAGUAGGAGCAGUUUACGAAAACGUUGCAACGUUUCGAAACUUCUGGUGAUUUAGGAGAAAAACGGGUUAGCGUGUACUUUCGUCCUUGAAACAGGGCAGGUAGGUGUGUGGACGUGGUGUCGUGAGGACCCGUGGAGUUCCUGAAGGGAGCCUCGUGGUGGAGGUGUUCGAGAGGAAGCAGGUGGUAGUCCGAUGCUCCUUGGGUCAGACUUGGGGUGAGCGCUUCAGUACAAGGAUUAAGGCUGUCCGGACUGACAGGGGAAGCGUAGCGGUUAAGUGCUACGGCUGCUAACCAAAGGGUCGGUAGUUCGAAUCCGCCAGGCGCUCUUUAGAAACUCUGUGGGGUAGUUCUACUCUGUCCUGUAGGGUUUCCGUGAGUCGAAAUCCAAUCAACGGCGACGGUUUUUUUUUUUUUUUUUUUUUUCUCCCUACUGACAGGGUGCGGGUUCUUUGCCGAUCGUUCUGCUUGUAAGGGUUGGAGGUGGUAUUUAUGAUGAAUGCGGUGUCUGGUAAGCCUAGAUUGCCUUUAAGAGACUUGUAAAAAUGGCGCGGGGGCGGCAUCUGACCUCCUGUUACUUUGCUGGGAAGAGGGAGAAUCAGCAUCAGCCCAAGGCAGAUUCUAUAAGGCGGAGCUCAGACAUGCCUUCUCUGGCUCUUGUUUUUUACCAAUUCUGACACUAACCGUCCCUUCCAUGGCAUAUUUCUGUACUAAGUUCUGUAAUUCCUUACAGUGGCCACACAAAAGUCGCAAACUAUGCUCACGUUUAUGGGUUUUUUAGGGACGUGACAUGUUACAAUUUAGGAACGCAGGAUACAGUUUUUUGAUCAGACAGCUUUUUCUCAGCUGUGCCGGCACUGGGUUUUUUUUCUGGGUGCCUGCAGGCAGGUCUCUCUGUGGCCCUUGGCUUGUCUGUCCCUUAAUCCCUCAGCCCCUAGAGAGUCUUGGGCCGGACUGCUCUUUGCCUUAUUCGGGCUAGUAGUACACAGGUCUGUAGCCAAACCAAACCCCCCCUGCUCUUGAGUCAGUUCCGACUCAUAGCGCGUCUAUAGGGCAGAGGAGAACUGCACCAUAGAGUUUCCAAGAAGCCCCUGGCAGAUUCGAACUGCCAACCUCUUGAUUAGCAGCUGUAGCACUUAAACACUACGCCGCCAGGGUUUCCCAGCUCCGAAGAGUCACGGAUAAGGGCCCAGAGGCACCCCACCUCGUUAGGAAGCCUCCUGUCUGAAGGCUCUCAGCCUUCUUGCUCUGUGGGUUGUCUCCCCUGCCACCCAGCACCAGUCUCUGUUCUGCUGCUGUAAAAACAACUUGGGGACAGUCUCUGAUCUCUUCUAACUUCACAGGGGAAAGGAGAAUGAAGAUCAAGAGCCCCAGGCUGGUUCUUAUAAGGCAGAGGUCAGACAUCACCCCCACACGGUUUUUUACAGUUGUCAGAAGCAAGAUUCUUUGCAAUGGUUCAGACUCACGGAAGCAUGGGACAUAGUAAGAGAAAGAAGGAAGGGGCUUGGGAAGUGAACCUUUUGAUUUUUGGAUGGUUGCUUUGAUUGUUGUUGCCUGUAAUGGCUGAAAAGCUGCAGUUGAAGUGGCCUGAGGCAAAAGCCAGGCCAGAUAAGUAGAAUUAUUGAUAGGGGGCUGGGAUCUGGUUCCAUUCAGCCAGAGCUCCAAGGCCACAUGCAUAUAAAUGGAAAGCAUUAAGGUGUGGAGAAGAUGCAACUGGAAUGUUUUUAAAAAGGUUUAUGUGUUUAGGAUUAUGUAUUGAUCUGAAUGUACUAUGGAUAUUGAAUGUUCCUCCCACCUAGUGUUGUAAAGCAGACCUGAAUGUAUAGUGGAAAUGAGUAUUGGGUAUUAGAGACCGUAGAGCACAUGUAACUGCACCUUCGGCCGAGAUUUGAUUGGGGGUUUUUUAUGCUAAAAGAGGAACUAGGAUUUGCCCCAGGGAAACACAGCCUGUCGGUUUGAAUGCAGUAGCCCUGUGUAUAGAGGGUGGGGCUUAGGUUGAAAACCGGGGCCCAACCCAGAUUUGCAUUGAAGAGACUUGCAGAACCUCCCAGAACUGCUGGGAGAAUGAGAUUUGCAUUUGCAAGCAGGACCUGCAAAAAAAAAGAAAAAAAAAAGGGACUGUUUUGCCUUUUGAAUUUCAUAUAAGCAGUUUGCUGUUGGAUGCAUAGAAGUAGGAAAAGUCAGUGCCUAACAGAGAACUCCCUUCCAGGAUUGGAAGUUAAAGGGAGCCAGUGAGUAGACAGCUUGGUCGGCUUGCGUCUGACCACCUAGGUUCACUCAUGAGUGGAAGCAGGGGAAGUGCAGCAAGGAAGAGAUGGGUUGAGUUUGUACAUGUUCCACUGCUACCCGUUGACCUAGCCCAUGGGGGCUAGGGAUGAGGGAGAGAGAGAGGAAGGGCUGGGCAGGUUAGAAAUCAAGGGAGAUAUGUGGACUUCUAUGUUUAUGGGUUCGUUGAGGUAGCCCAAGGGGGCUAGGGAUGACAGUGUGAAGGGACUUUCUGAAGUUCAUAGAGGUGUGUGUGAGCUCCUGAGCCUAAGGCUGCUACCCAUUGUGACCUAGCUUGGGUGGCUAGGGAUGAGCGGACCAAAACCCCAACUGAAUGAAGAGAAAGAUACUUGACACCGUGAACUGGUGUAGAUUGCUGCAAUUUGAUGGCUUGCUCUGGAUUGGACUUUGCUUAUGGAUGCAGAAACUGAAAAUUCCAACGGGAAUAGAAAAUCUUCAAGACCAAGGAACAUGCUUGGCUCCUCAGUACUGAUUUGUAGGGAUGGGCAAUUUAGAAUUGGCUGUCUUAAAAAGUGGGGGAGAUAAAGGCAUGAAGUGGCUGGCUUACAUGUUUUCGUGGGGUGUGCUUACACUCAAAAUGAGGGGCACAAGGGAGGAUCCCCACUGAAUUAAAUUUUUCUUGAUAGCUCUGGGGAAGAAAGGGUGGGGGAGAAGCUGAUAGGAUUAUAUGAUUCAGCUGUGAGUGUUGAUUGCUAAAAGGGUUAAUUGUGAUCGUAAAAACUGUAACUCUAAGAGCUGUAAAUGUGAAUCAGUGGACUAAGGGGGAGGCGCUGCUGGACUCCAGUUGCCAAACCUAAAGACCCUUAAAGGUCUUGCCACUUUGAUACCUCAGGUGAGGCUCAGAGCAAAGGAAUAAUCUUCUUUCAGUUAAAUUUUAUCAGGGGCCAGAAAGAGAAGAUGAGUCGACUUUUAAAGAAUGUGACCAGAUCAAAUGAAAUCUACAGCAGACCUGAAUGGCCGGUAACUGAGUAACCUUACCCUGUGAACUCUUUGUCCUAUUGAAGAACUUAUUGUUAAUGACUGUUUCAUACUGGUAAACCAUUUGGGAGGGGGAAGUUACCCUCCAAAUAUGAAAGAACCCUGACUAGAAAAGCCAGGGGCUGACCUGUGGCUUUUGUAGCCCUGGUCUCCUAAUGCCUACAGAUGUGAUUGGGUGGACUGUGUAAUAGGGUAAUCGUGGCCCACCAAAGGCGUUGGUCAGUUUUGCCAUCCUGCUGGGCUUGAAACCAGGGGCGGGAAAGAGAAAAAUUCAACUGCCACCAAGGAAGAACAGCCAGGAGCCAGCAUGUUUUGAACCUGGGAUCCGUGUACUGAGAAGCUCCUGGAACCAGGAGGCAGAGAGAGACAAAGAUGUAACACUGAAUACGGAGAACCAGCAGCAGGAGACCAUGCGGUAGGCUUCCCAGCUUAUGGAGUGAAAAAGCCGAGUGCCUUUGGGCAGAGACGGGGCCAGGGAGAGGCGUUCCCGUGAGCACAACUAGGAACAGGCUGUCCUGAUGGAAGAAUUGUAUUCCAUGUGUUCCUGAUUCUGGGGAAGUAAUAGAAUUAUAUCUAUUACUUCCCUCAUAAACCCCAUAAUUGUGAGUUUUGUCUGUGAGUUCUGUGUGGCCAUUGCAAUGAACUAACGAACCCAGUAGAGAAGUAGAGAGUACCGUGGGAGGUAUGGUUGUUGUCAGAAUUGGUCAGGAUGGUGGAGAGAAGAUACGUCUAACCUCUGCCUCAUGGCAGUCAGUUUUGGGCUGUUGAUCUUGAUUCUCCGUCCCUUCUAUGAAAUGAGAGGAGGUCAGACAGUGCGCCCACGUCACUUUUACACCUGCCACUGUUUCUCUGCCGCUGUCUGACUGUCUUGCACCAGCUCCUGUGUUAUAGCUCUCUCUCUUCCUAUUUCCUGGUCUAGGAGGUUCUCAGUGCAGGGUCCUGGAACCAAAGGAUGCACUUUACAUCUGUCUCUUAUUCUUGGUGGUAAUAAAGUCCCUCCUCUAAUCUGGGAUUGGCUCUCUUUUAAGUCCAGCAGAUGGCAAAACUAACCAGUCCCCUAGUUAGGGUUUUGUACAUUUUUUUUAUAUGGUCCUAUCCACACCUUGAUGUCAUGCACCUUAUUUGCAUUAUUAACUAGCUGUCCAGUCCCUGUAUUGGGGCACAAGCACCUUAUUUGCAUAGUCUCCCUCAAUCAUCUGGUAGAAUUUACAAGACCUUGGCUAGAAAGGCCAUAUGGAAGAAAUCUGUUUCACCACAUUGGGUUACUACAACUAAUGCUGCUUUAAAUAUAUUGGUGUAUGUCUUGUGGUUCAAAUGUGCACUCCUUACGUGGGGAUAUAAACCUCAGGCUUAAAUUGUUAUUUCCAAAUGUAUAUAUAACUUAAACCUAAUAGAUGAUGCCUAAGUGUUUUCUAAAAUGGCCGUACAGCUUUACAGUUACUCCAGCAGCAUAGUCUUCAUUUGAUAGUUAGCGUGUUACGUGGCAUGUUUAAAAUGUAUUUCCAGACUGUAAUGUAAACUUACCUUCUUAAGGCUUCGUUGGUUUGUCCUUCUCACUGAGGCUCACACUUAACCAUGAAUUGAUAGUUUUGCAUGUCGUGAGCCUACAGGUCCUGACUCCCAGGAAGCAAGAGAACCACUUGAAGAAAGUAGGAAGAGAUUAUAGGAUUUGAGUAUUGUCAUUUUGGGGGACAACCUUCAUGGGAGACAGUUUUCUGAACAGAAAAUAGAGCUGAUCCAGAAAACAUGAGGACAGACCAUCCCAGUUGCUGGCGAAUGUCUCAAGAACAAAAGAAAAUGGUCAAGGCGCAGGCAUCACUGACAUUCAUCGACGUGGCUGUAAAGUUCACCUGGGAGGAGUGGCAACUCCUGAACCCUGCUCAGAAGAACCUGUACCGGGACGUGAUGUUGGAGAACUAUCGCAACCUGGUGUCCAUUGGGUGUCAAGUUAGCAAACCAGAUGCACUUUCCAAGUUGGAACGAGGACAACCAUGGACUAUGUUAAUAGACAGAAAUCAUAAUGGAAUCAUUUCAGAAAUCGUGAACAUUGAUCAUCAUCUGCUUGGGUGCUCAGAAAAAGAAAGAAGGGUAGACAGAUUGGAACCAUGCUAUGAGCAUAAUGCAUUGGAAAAUACUGUUUGUCAGCACAAAAAUCAGUUUCCUCUAAGGGAAAAUCAUGCCGUGUUUGACUUACGUGAAAAACCUGUGAAAUCAAAUUUAACUUUACUGGCAGUCAACCAGAGCAAAAGCAAUGAAGUAAAGAAUUCUGCUGAGCUUAAUCGUGAUGAGAAAACCUCUCUCCAUGAUGACUGGGAGCCAUUUUGUACUGAAAUGAAAUUCCUUGAAAGUCAAAAAUCCAACAGCACGAAAUCUCAACACACUCAGCAUCAGAAAACUCACAAAACAGAGAUAUCACAUGUAUGCAGUGACCAUGGGAAAGCUGUCAUCAGGAAGUCUUUCCUCACUGAGCAUCAGGUUAUUCAUUCAGGAGAGAAACGCUAUAGGUGCAGUGUCUGUCGGGAAACCUUCUUUAAAAAGUUCAAGCUCAUUGAACAUCAUCACACGACUCAUAAAGGACAAAAAUCGUAUAAAUGCACAGAAUGUGGCAAAGCCUAUCUGCAUAAAUCACAACUCAAUAAUCAUCAGAAAGCUCACCUGGCAGAGAAACCCUAUAUAUGCCGUGACUGUGGCAAAGGUUUCACCCAGAAGACACAUCUCACUGUUCAUCUGCGAAUCCAUACUGAAGAGAAGCCCUAUAUAUGCGGCGAAUGUGGUAAAAGCUUCAACCAGAAGGGACAUCUCAUUGUUCAUCAGCGAACUCAUACUGGAGAGAAACCCUAUGUAUGCAAUGCAUGUGGGAAAGGCUUCAUCCAGAAAGGAGAUCUCACUAUUCAUCAGCGAACUCAUACUGGAGAGAAACCCUAUGUAUGCAGUGAAUGUGGGAAAAACUUCAGCCACAAGGGAAAUCUCAUUAUUCAUCAGCGGAUUCAUACUGGAGAGAAACCCUAUAUCUGCAGUGAAUGUGGUAAACGAUUCAGCCAGAAGUCACGCCUCAUAGCACAUCAGAGGUUUCACACAGGAAAGAUGCCUUCUUCACGCAGUGAAAAUGGAAACUCUUAUUCCCAAAAUGCAACUCUCAGUAGACAUCGGAAAAUUCACACAGGAGAGAAACCCUUCAAUGCAGUUAAUGUUCGAAAGCCUUUGAAGCAAAGCUAGAGGUCAUUGAACAUCGAAGAUCUCACCCAGGAGAUAUACCGUAUUACUGCAGUGAGUGUGGACAAACUUUUGCCUAUACGUCUUUUGAUCACACGAAAGAAAGAAAGGUGUAGAUUCAGUCAAGUUGGAAGACCUUUCCACAACAAGUCACAGCUCAUACAAAUACCGGUGAUCUCAUGCAAGAGAAAAGCCUGGUUAAUACAGCGACUUUAGAUGCCUUCUGUGGCAGCUGAGACAUCAGUAAACAUCAGUGGGCUCCUAACUAAUACAGACUUCGUCCUUGUGACACAGCGUAUUGCUACAUGUCAAGCCUCAGCAGACAAGAGAGAAUUUGUACAGCAGAGAAGCCUUAUGAAUGCAGUGAACUUGGUGGUGCUUUUCAGUGGUCAAUUUUGUCUUAUUUUAUGGCAAAUAAACUCAGGGCCUCUGGACUGGCCUCCACCCUGCCCAGACAAGUGUUACAAAGCUCUGUUCAUUCUGCCGAUAAUGUGCCCAGAAGCACUGUACUGUCUCAAGCCUGUGAGCAAGAGCCCUGCUGUCCGGCCUGCCGAUCUUGGAUUCAUCUGCUCCUGAGGCUUCAUGAAUCAAGAGAGGCCUCUAUCCUGACCCGCAGACUUGGGGUGUUCUAGCCUCUACAGUUGGCCCAAAGGCACUCAACUUUCUCACUUCUUGGGCCAGUAAACCCAGUGCAUCAUCUCCAGCCAGUCUUUCCUGCCACUGUUUCUCUACCAUCUCUUCUCUCCAUCCUUAGUGUUACAGCUCUCUCUCUCUGUGUCUCCUGGUUCCAGGAGGUUCUCAGCACAGGGAUCCUGGAUCCAAAAGACACACUCCGCUCCUGACGCAUUCUUCCCUGGCAGUGGUGGAAUCUCUGUGCUGAGAAGUUCCUGGAACCAAGAGACCAAGAAAGAGAGCAAGCAGUAACACUUAAGACAGCAAGAAGCAACAGCAGAGACCUGGCAGCAAGAGAUGGCAUGGUGGGCUUCCUGGCCCACAGCACUUGGGUGAAGGCUGAGGGCCAGGGAGAGGCGUGCCUGUGAGCACAGCUGGUUAGAGGCUGUCCUGAUGGAAGAAUUGUAUCCUGAGUAUUCCUGAGCCUGAAUUGUAAUUGUUCCUUCCCUGAUAACCUCCAUGAUUGUGAGUGUUGUCUGUGAGUUCUGUGUGGCCACUGCAAUGAAUUAUCGAACCCAGUACAGAAGUGGAAACCCUGGUGGCAUAGUGGUUAAGAUCAAUGGCUGCUAACCAAAAGGCCAGCAGUUCAAAUCCACCAGGUGCUCCUUGGAAACUCUAUGGGGCGGUUCUACUCUGUUCCAUAGGGUCACUAUGAGUUGGAAUCGACUCGAUGGCAAUAGGUUUGAUUUGUUUUGGUACAGAAGUAGAGUGUGCCGUGGGAGGUACAGUUGGUGUCAGAAUUGGUGAAGAUGGUGGAAAGAGGAGGCAUAUCUGACCUCUGCCUCAUAAGAAUCAGCCUCGGGGUGUUGAUCUUGAUUCUCCUUCCUCCUUUGAAGUUAGAGAAGGUCAGAUGUCACCCCCACACCAUUCUUACAACCAUGGUGAGUAUAGUCUGUGAGAUCUGUGUGGCUAUUGCAAUAAAUCAACCAGCCCAGUAGAGAAGUAUAAAAUACUGUGGGAGGAAUGGCUGGUAUGAGAAAUGGCAAAGAAGUUGAAGAGUGGAGGUAUGUCUGACCUCCACCUCAUAAAAACCAGCUCUGUGCUUAUCCCGAUUCUUAUCCAUUGGGACGUUACCAAAGUCCUGAUGCUAGAUUACACCAAGUCAGAUCAUUCCAUUACCUGAACGGAUCAGUCAGGGUCCCAGGAUAGGAUGACCAGGCCUGCCUUGAGCCCUGCAGACCUGGUGCUGAACUCACCUCUCAAAGGGUUGCUGUCCCAGGUGAAGGAGGCCCAGUGCAUACCUAUACCUGGUACACACAUCCUCUGCUCCCACACCCAGGACUCUCAUGGUCCCAGUGAAGGUCACCCUUCACCUGUCCCCAUGGCCUCAGCCAUGUGAGGCAGUAUAAUCAAGUAGUGGUUAGGAGUGAGUCUUGAAGUCUUACUGCCUGGGUUUGAAACCCGUGUCUCCACUUUUUCUUUAAAAUAAUUAUCUGCCUCAUAGGGUGGUCGUGGAAAGAAGUAAGAACAGCUCCUGGCAAACAGGCAAUUAAUAAUGGUGUUACCGUUUUCAUUAGUCCUUGUGAGGAGAAAGAAUUGAGAACGUAGGGGUAUCUGACCCUAAUCAUAAAUCUAUAGCUUGAUGAAAAUGACUAUUGUCAUCCAACGAGCCAGCAGUAUCCCAUACUGUGUAAUCUUUGUAAUAAUCCUUUGGUAGCCAGUAAGGUGGCAAAUUAAGCAGUAAUUCAGAGCAGUGAAGUAGAGCAAUGAGGACAGAGAAAAGGGAGUGAGCCCAUGUUAUUUCUGAGAUAACAUGAACAGGAACUGGUGCCAAGUGUUAUAAUGACUGCCGCUGAGAAACAGAACGAAGGAGAAGUAAGUGGAGGGCAGUGGUGAUUCAGUGGUAGAAUUCUUGCCUUCCAUGCAGGAGAUGGGGUUCGGCUCCUGCCCAGUACACCUCAGGUGCAGCCACCACCUGUGUCAGUGGAGGCUUGCAUGUUUCUGUGAUACCGAACAAGUUUCAUCAGAGCAUCCUUAACUAAGAUGGAUGAGGAAGAAAUGCCUGGCAACCUGCUUGCCUUUUACUGGUCUCAUCUUUAGUGGCCUUACCACUAUGCCCCACUCCAAAGAUAACCUAGGCUCAUGCCAUCCACUCUUUUGCUCUGUGUUGGCCACUAGUUUCUCCAAACCCUCUUCUGUCCUUAAAGCCACAUCCUGAAAGCCGUUAUCAGUGAGAAUACUUCCGAGGUGCUCCAUUUACCAACUUUUUGCCUUUUGCUUUCCCAGGAGCAUGUCUCUGCUGUACAGACACUUGAACUCCUACUUAGACAUUUACAAUUUUAUUUUCUUAAACAUACUGUUUUAAGGUGGGGCCAUAUUAUUUUUCUGCCCAACCCAUUAUAAGCAGUUCGAUGUGGUCCAUGUUUUUCCUAUGCAGUUUGAGCCUCUUCAGCAAGGGUAGAAGAUCAGGGAAACUGGACAGUUUCAGCGUGCUUUCUCCCUUGGGGGAACUGGCAGGGGAACCACUGACCUGAGCCACCAGCCCUCCUAUGGUCCUUGCCUACAUACCUGAAAACCAAGGCCAUGGUUGUUGACUGGAUUCUGACUCAUAGCGACCCUGUAGGACAGGGUAGAACUGCCCCAUAGGAUUUCCGAAGAGCGGCAUUGUGGAUUUGAACUAUGGACCACUGGUUAGUAGCUGAGUUUUUAACCACUGUGCCAUCAGGAGUCUGCACCUUGCCUAACCCUUUGUCAUGGAGUCUAUUCCGACCCACAGCAAGCGCGCUCUUAACCACUGUGCCAGCAAGGUCCUUCAGUCCCUCCCUAAACCAAACCCAAAGCAAAAACCAUUAAAGUGGAAUCGAUUCAGACUCAUAGCGACCCAACUGUCUGUCCCACAGGGUUUCCACGGAGCGGCUGGUGGAUUCCAACUGCAGACCUUUUGGUUAGCAGUGGAGCUUUUAACUACUGUGCAACCAGUCCUCCUUGCCUAAGCAAAAAAACAAAAACAAAAAACCAAACCC
RNA transcript from Loxodonta africana (African savanna elephant), 10175 nucleotides. It is a transcript of the gene named zinc finger protein 613-like, with no coding region annotated. NCBI's taxonomy places the organism in Eukaryota, Metazoa, Chordata, Mammalia, Proboscidea, Elephantidae. The record is from RefSeq and is a predicted model, not a curated record. The transcript is spliced from 7 exons.